GAUGAACGCUGGCGGCGUGCCUAAUACAUGCAAGUCGAGCGAACAGACGAGGAGCUUGCUCCUCUGACGUUAGCGGCGGACGGGUGAGUAACACGUGGUUAACCUACCUAUAAGACUGGGAUAACUUCGGGAAACCGGAGCUAAUACCGGAUAAUAUAUUGAACCGCAUGGUUCAAUAGUGAAAGACGGUUUUGCUGUCACUUAUAGAUGGAUCCGCGCCGCAUUAGCUAGUUGGUAAGGUAACGGCUUACCAAGGCAACGAUGCGUAGCCGACCUGAGAGGGUGAUCGGCCACACUGGAACUGAGACACGGUCCAGACUCCUACGGGAGGCAGCAGUAGGGAAUCUUCCGCAAAGGGCGAAAGCCUGACGGAGCAACGCCGCGUGAGUGAUGAAGGUCUUCGGAUCGUAAAACUCUGUUAUUAGGGAAGAACAAAUGUGUAAGUAACUAUGCACGUCUUGACGGUACCUAAUCAGAAAGCCACGGCUAACUACGUG
RNAcentral lists this ribosomal RNA (497 nucleotides) under uncultured bacterium. RNAcentral describes it as "partial 16S ribosomal RNA". It matches the Rfam family "Bacterial small subunit ribosomal RNA", at positions 28 to 507 of the family's 1533-position model. The record is from RNAcentral.